Molecule: ribosomal RNA, 437 nt
Filed under: uncultured Desulfobulbus sp.
Lineage: Bacteria; Pseudomonadati; Thermodesulfobacteriota; Desulfobulbia; Desulfobulbales; Desulfobulbaceae
Description: bacterial SSU rRNA
Rfam family: Bacterial small subunit ribosomal RNA
Source: RNAcentral
UUCGAUGCAACGCGAAGAACCUUACCUGGUCUUGACAUCCCGGAGACCCUUAGGAAACUAGGGGUGCUUCCAUCUGGAAGAAUCUGGAGACAGGUGCUGCAUGGCUGUCGUCAGCUCGUGUCGUGAGAUGUUGGGUUAAGUCCCGCAACGAGCGCAACCCUUGCCUUUAGUUGCCAGCAGUUCGGCUGGGCACUCUAAAGGGACUGCCGGUGUUAAACCGGAGGAAGGUGGGGAUGACGUCAAGUCCUCAUGGCCUUUAUGACCAGGGCUACACACGUACUACAAUGGCCGAUACAAAGGGCAGCGACACUGCGAGGUGAAGCCAAUCCCGUAAAAUCGGUCUCAGUCCGGAUUGGAGUCUGCAACUCGACUCCAUGAAGUUGGAAUCGCUAGUAAUCGUGGAUCAGCAUGCCACGGUGAAUACGUUCCCGGGCCUU